RNAcentral lists this ribosomal RNA (253 nucleotides) under uncultured bacterium. RNAcentral's name for it is "partial 16S ribosomal RNA". It matches the Rfam family "Bacterial small subunit ribosomal RNA", at positions 524 to 776 of the family's 1533-position model. The record is from RNAcentral.
UACGGGGGGUGCAAGCGUUGUUCGGAAUCAUUGGGCGUAAAGCGCGCGCAGGCGGCUUGGUCAGUCAGAUGUGAAAGCCCUGGGCUUAACCCAGGAAGUGCAUUUGAUACUGCCUCGCUAGAGUACGGGAGAGGAAAGUGGAAUUCCUGGUGUAGAGGUGAAAUUCGUAGAUAUCAGGAGGAACACCGGUGGCGAAGGCGACUUUCUGGUCCGAUACUGACGCCCAGGCGCGAAAGCGUGGGGAGCAAACAGG